AUCUAACUGAUGAAUCUCAGAUAGGACAAAACGCGAGUCCUGGAU
Molecule: non-coding RNA, 45 nt
Filed under: Schistosoma mansoni
Lineage: Eukaryota; Metazoa; Platyhelminthes; Trematoda; Strigeidida; Schistosomatidae
Source: RNAcentral